This 328-nucleotide unclassified non-coding RNA is filed under the name soil metagenome. RNAcentral's name for it is "partial contains 5.8S ribosomal RNA, internal transcribed spacer 2, and large subunit ribosomal RNA". The stretch from base 1 to 119 matches the Rfam family "5.8S ribosomal RNA", at positions 35 to 154 of the family's 154-position model. The record is from RNAcentral.
GAUGAAGACGCAGCGAAAUGCGAUAAGUAAUGUGAAUUGCAGAAUUCAGUGAAUCAUCGAAUCUUUGAACGCACAUUGCGCCCCUUGGUAUUCCGAGGGGCAUGCCUGUUCGAGCGUCAUUAUAACCCCUCAAGCUCAGCUUGGUGUUGGGGCCUGCUGCACUGGCAGCCCUUAAAAUCAGUGGCGGCGCCAUCUGGUUCUAAGCGUAGUAAUUCUUCUCGCUAUGGAGUCCUGGUGGAUGCUUGCCAUCAACCCCCAAUUUUUCUAUGGUUGACCUCGGAUCAGGUAGGGAUACCCGCUGAACUUAAGCAUAUCAAUAAGCGGAGGA